CCUACGGGAGGCUGCAGUAAGGAAUAUUGGUCAAUGGGCGGAAGCCUGAACCAGCCAUGCCGCGUGCAGGAAGACGGCCUACGGGUUGUAAACUGCUUUUGCAGGGGAAUAUGUACUCUGAGAAUAAGGAUCGGCUAACUCCGUGCCAGCAGCCGCGGUAAUACGGAGGAUCCGAGCGUUAUCCGGAUUUAUUGGGUUUAAAGGGUGCGUAGGCGGCCUAUUAAGUCAGGGGUGAAAGACGGUAGCUUAACUAUCGCAGUGCCUUUGAUACUGAUAGGCUUGAAUGUAGUUGAGGUAGGCGGAAUGUGACAAGUAGCGGUGAAAUGCAUAGAUAUGUCACAGAACACCAAUUGCGAAGGCAGCUUACUAAGUUGAUUGACGCUGAGGCACGAAAGCGUGGGGAUCAAACAGGAUUAGAUACCCUUGUAGUC
This 431-nucleotide ribosomal RNA is filed under the name uncultured bacterium. RNAcentral describes it as "partial 16S ribosomal RNA". It matches the Rfam family "Bacterial small subunit ribosomal RNA", at positions 338 to 795 of the family's 1533-position model. The record is from RNAcentral.